This 1251-nucleotide ribosomal RNA is filed under the name Marplesia sp. CG238. Its description in RNAcentral is "SSU rRNA". It matches the Rfam family "Eukaryotic small subunit ribosomal RNA", at positions 52 to 1301 of the family's 1831-position model. The record is from RNAcentral. Lineage: Eukaryota; Metazoa; Arthropoda; Arachnida; Araneae; Amphinectidae.
UGCAUGUCUAAGCACAUGCCGUAUUAAGGCGAAACCGCGAAUGGCUCAUUAAAUCAGUUAUGGUUCCUUGGAUCGUACCUUACUACUUGGAUAACUGUGGCAAUUCUAGAGCUAAUACAUGCAGCAGAGCUCCGACCUUCGGGGACGAGCGCUUUUAUUAGACCAAAACCGAUCGGACCUAGCGUCCGCAUCUUGUGGUGACUCUGUAUAACCUUGGGCUGAUCGCACGGGCGUGUCCCGGCGACGUAUCCUUCAAGUGUCUGCCUUAUCAACUUUCGAUGGUAGGUUACGCGCCUACCAUGGUCGUAACGGGUGACGGGGAAUCAGGGUUCGAUUCCGGAGAGGGAGCCUGAGAAACGGCUACCACAUCCAAGGAAGGCAGCAGGCGCGCAAAUUACCCACUCCCAGAACGGGGAGGUAGUGACGAAAAAUAACAAUACGGGACUCUUUUGAGACCCCGUAAUUGGAAUGAGGACACUGUAAAUCCUUGUCCCAGGAUCCAUUGGAGGGCAAGUCUGGUGCCAGCAGCUGCGGUAAUUCCAGCUCCAAUAGCGUAUAUUAAAGUUGUUGCGGUUAAAAAGCUCGUAGUUGGAUCUCAGUUCCAGACUGGAGGUCCGCCUAACGGUGGUUACCGCCCUGUUCUGAACAACCAGCCGGUUUCCCUUGUUGAUCUUCACCGGUUGUCUUGGGUGACCGGCAAGUUUACUUUGAAAAAAUUAGAGUGCUCAAAGCAGGCGUGACGCCUGAAUAAUGGUGCAUGGAAUAAUGGAAUAGGAUCUCGGUUCUAUUUUGUUGGUUUUCGGAAUACGAGAUAAUGAUUAAGAGGGACAGACGGGGGCAUUCGUAUUGCGACGCUAGAGGUGAAAUUCUUGGACCGUCGCAAGACGAACUACUGCGAAAGCAUUUGCCAAGAAUGUUUCCAUUAAUCAAGAACGAAAGUUAGAGGUUCGAAGGCGAUCAGAUACCGCCCUAGUUCUAACCAUAAACGAUGCCAGCCAGCAAUCCGGCUGUGUUCCUCAAAUGACACGCCGGGCGGCUUUACGGAAACGAAAGCUUUUUGGUUCCGGGGGAAGUAUGGUUGCAAAGCUGAAACUUAAAGGAAUUGACGGAAGGGCACCACCAGGUAUGGAGCCUGCGGCUUAAUUUGACUCAACUCGGGGAAACUCACCCAGCCAGGACACAGGAAGGAUUGACAGAUUAAGAGCUCUUUCUUGAUUCUGUGGAUGGUCCUGCAUGGCCGUUCUUAGUUGG